This 1028-nucleotide ribosomal RNA is filed under the name Leptobrachium hendricksoni (spotted litter frog). RNAcentral describes it as "partial 16S ribosomal RNA". It matches the Rfam family "Bacterial large subunit ribosomal RNA", at positions 872 to 2599 of the family's 2925-position model. Lineage: Eukaryota; Metazoa; Chordata; Amphibia; Anura; Megophryidae. The record is from RNAcentral.
UAGUUCUUUCUUAAAAUAUUCUAGCAAAGCCAAGUAAAUCUAAUUUUUAAGAAUUAUUCAAUAAAGGUACAGCUUUAUUGAAAAAGGAAACAACCUAAACCUUAGGAUAAUGAAUAUUUUUAAAUAGGUAAAAGGCCAAGUUGGCCUAAAAGCAGCCAUCUUUAAAGAUAGCGUCAAAGCUUCACCUUAAACACACCUUAAAUCUCAUUAUUUUUUCAUAAUCCAACAAUUCUACUAAGCCAUUCUAUACUUUUAUAGAAAAGUUUAUGUUAGGACUAGUAACACAGAAUAAUUUCUCUUACAUGUAAGUUUAAAUCAACCCGAAUACCUCCUUGAUAAUUACUCAAAUUUGAACCUUAAGUAGUACCUAUUAAUUACAAAAACCCUACUUAACUUAUUGUUAAUCAAACAUAUGGAUAUGAAAGAAAGAUUAAAAAAUUAAGAAGGAACUCGGCAAACACAAGUCCCGCCUGUUUACCAAAAACAUCGCCUUUUGAAAAGUAUAAAAGGUAACGCCUGCCCACUGACAGUAUGUUUAACGGCCGCGGUAUUCUGACCGUGCGAAGGUAGCGUAAUCACUUGUCUUUUAAAUGAAGACUCGUAUGAAAGGCAUCACGAGAACUUAGCUGUCUCCUUAAUUCAAUCAGUGAAACUGAUACCCCUGUAAAAAAGCAGGGAUGAUUACAUAAGACGAGAAGACCCUGUGGAGCUUAAAACAUAAGCUACUUCUAUACUCUACUAACUUAUAGUACUAAAAUACAAACCUAGCCUAAGUUUUCUGUUGGGGCGGCUGUGGAGAAAAACUUAUCCUCCAUGAAGAAAAAACUUUGAUCUACCGCUCUUAGUAUUAGCAAGCCUAACUUAAAUUGAUCCAAUUUUUGAUCAACGGACCAAGUUACCCCAGGGAUAACAGCGCAAUCCAUUUCAAGAGUCCCUAUCGACAAAUGGGUUUACGACCUCGAUGUUGGAUUAGGACAUCCUAGUGGUGUAGCCGCUACUAAUGGUUCGUUUGUUCACGAUAAGUCUAC